UUGACCUCGGAUCAGGUAGGAAUACCCGCUGAACUUAAGCAUAUCAAUAAGCGGAGGAAAAGAAACCAACAGGGAUUGCCUCAGUAACGGCGAGUGAAGCGGCAACAGCUCAAAUUUGAAAUCUGGCCGUAAGGUCCGAGUUGUAAUUUGUAGAGGAUGUUUUGGGCACCGCUGUGGGUUAAAUUUCUUGGAACAGAAUGUCAAAGAGGGUGAGAGUCCCGUCUUGGCCCGCGGUAGGACCUAUGUAAAACUCCUUCGACGAGUCGACUUGUUUGGGAAUGCAGGUCAAAAUGGGUGGUAAAUUUCAUCUAAAGCUAAAUAUUGGCCAGAGACCGAUAGCGCACAAGUAGAGUGAUCGAAAGAUGAAAAGCACUUUGAAAAGAGAGUUAAACAGUAUGUGAAAUUGUUGAAAGGGAAGCGCUGGCAACCAGACUCGAGCGCGGUGUUCCCCCUGGCUUCUGCCUGGGUUAUUUCACCGUGACCGGGCCAUCAUCAGUUUUGAGGGCUGGUUAAAGACUCAGGGAAUGUAUCCACUCCUUCGGGGGUGGACUUAUAGCCCCGGGUGUCAUGCAGCCUCUUGGGACUGAGGAACGCGCUUCGGCGAGGAUGAUGGCGUAAUGGUUGUCAGCGAC
Molecule: ribosomal RNA, 632 nt
Filed under: Alatosessilispora bibrachiata
Lineage: Eukaryota; Fungi; Ascomycota
Description: eukaryotic LSU rRNA
Rfam family: Eukaryotic large subunit ribosomal RNA
Source: RNAcentral